AACAUUUCUGUAUUACCCAUACAUUCACCCGGUUUCACUGCAUGUCUUAACUCCAGACCGUCCUCCGGGUCAUCCUCCAGGUACGCCCCCGCCUGCAGCGCAACAGUGGCCACUGAAGAGACAGCGGGCUGGAUGGGCUUAGUGGAGAGAGUGUUAGAAGGACCUCGUCAAACAACACAAAUGGCACUCCCUCAUCCCAAUUUGGAUUAUCCAUACAGUAUUUUCGGAGCAUCGAUUUGAGGGUCUGGUGCCACCGCUCGAGUGCUCCCUGGCUUUCCGGAUGAUACGCACUCGAGACCUGGUAUUGGUUACCACUCCGCGUUCUUGGUAAAGGACCCACACAAUCCACGAUUACCCGUUCGAACGGUUCUCCCAGCACAGGAAUCGGAUGCAGAGGCGCCCGAGGGAUGACCUGGUUCGCUUUUCCUGUUAGUUGGCAUUCAUGACAGGUAUUACAAAAUUCCACAACAUCUGACUUUAGACCUGGCCAGAAAAAGUGGCGAAGGACUCUGUCAUAAGUCUUUGUUAUUCCUAGGUGCCCAGCCCAAGCAGGGUCAUGUGCUAGGGAUAACACUUGCUGUCUGAAUGGUUUAGGGACGACCACCUGCUUGACAACCCCUAAACCC
Gasterosteus aculeatus aculeatus (three-spined stickleback) is the source of this 626-nucleotide long non-coding RNA. The record is from Ensembl. Lineage: Eukaryota; Metazoa; Chordata; Actinopteri; Perciformes; Gasterosteidae.